GAUUCUGGCUCAGGACGAACGCUGGCGGCGUGCCUAAUACAUGCAAGUAGAACGCUGAAGGAGGAGCUUGCUUCUCUGGAUGAGUUGCGAACGGGUGAGUAACGCGUAGGUAACCUGCCUGGUAGCGGGGGAUAACUAUUGGAAACGAUAGCUAAUACCGCAUAAUAGUAGAUGUUGCAUGACAUUUGCUUAAAAGGUGCAAUUGCAUCACUACCAGAUGGACCUGCGUUG
RNAcentral lists this ribosomal RNA (231 nucleotides) under uncultured bacterium. RNAcentral describes it as "partial 16S ribosomal RNA". It matches the Rfam family "Bacterial small subunit ribosomal RNA", at positions 15 to 238 of the family's 1533-position model. The record is from RNAcentral.